CCUACGGGGGGCAGCAGUAAGGAAUAUUGGUCAAUGGACGAAAGUCUGAACCAGCCAUCCCGCGUGCAGGAUGAAAGCCCUAUGGGUUGUAAACUGCUUUUAGCAGAGAAGAAAAGCUUCCAUUUAUGGGGGUCUGACGGUAUCUGCAGAAUAAGCACCGGCUAACUCCGUGCCAGCAGCCGCGGUAAUCCGGAGGGUGCGAGCGUUAUCCGGAUUUACGGGGGUUAAAGGGUGCGUUGAAGUAGGUUUUGAAAUCUUGUCGCUUAACGAUAAAAUGGCCAAUGAUACUGGUACUCUUGAAUUGGGUUGAGGUUAGCGGAAUGUGACAUGUAGCGGUGAAAUGCAUAGAUAUGUCAUGGAACACCAAUUGCGAAGGCAGCUAACUGGGCCUUGAGUGACGCUGAGGCACGAAAGCGUGGGUAGCGAACAGGAUUAGAUACCCUGGUAGUC
This 450-nucleotide ribosomal RNA is filed under the name uncultured bacterium. Its description in RNAcentral is "partial 16S ribosomal RNA". It matches the Rfam family "Bacterial small subunit ribosomal RNA", at positions 338 to 795 of the family's 1533-position model. The record is from RNAcentral.